CCAGCUCCAAUAGCGUAUAUUUAAGUUGUUGCAGUUAAAAAGCUCGUAGUUGGAUUUCGGGUGGGUUCUAGCGGUCCGCCUUUGGUGAGUACUGCUAUGGCCUUCCUUUCUGCCGGGGACGGGCUCCUGGGCUUCACUGUCCGGGACUCGGAGUCGGCGAGGAUACUUUGAGUAAAUUGGAGUGUUCAAAGCAGGCCUACGCUCUGAACAUUUUAGCAUGGAAUAUCAUGAUAGGACUCUGGCCUAUCUUGUUGGUCUGUAGGACCGGAGUAAUGAUUAAGAGGGACAGUCGGGGGCAUUCGUAUUUCAUUGUCAGAGGUGAAAUUCUUGGAUUUAUGAAAGACGAACUACUGCGAAAGCAUUUGCCAAGGAUGUUUUCA
Molecule: ribosomal RNA, 380 nt
Filed under: uncultured Pseudomuriella
Lineage: Eukaryota; Viridiplantae; Chlorophyta; Chlorophyceae
Description: SSU rRNA
Rfam family: Eukaryotic small subunit ribosomal RNA
Source: RNAcentral